Molecule: ribosomal RNA, 253 nt
Filed under: uncultured bacterium
Lineage: Bacteria
Description: partial 16S ribosomal RNA
Rfam family: Bacterial small subunit ribosomal RNA
Source: RNAcentral
CACGUAGGGGGCGAGCGUUGUCCGGAAUCAUUGGGCGUAAAGGGCGCGCAGGUGGCUCUGUAUGUCUGCCGUGAAAGCAUACAGCUCAACUGUAUUGUGUCGGUAGAAACUGCAGGACUUGAGGCUGGGAGGGGCUGGUGGAAUUCCCUGUGUAGCGGUGAAAUGCGUAGAGAUGGGGGAGAACACUCGUGGCGAAGGCGGCCAGCUAGACCAGUUCUGACACUGAGGCGCGACAGCGUGGGGAGCAAACAGG